UACGUAGGGACCGAGCGUUGUCCGGAAUCAUUGGGCGUAAAGAGCGUGUAGGCGGCUUGUUAAGUCUUGCGUGAAAUCUCGGGGCUCAACCCCGAGCGGUCGUGAGAAACUGGCAGGCUAGAGUGCGGGAGAGGAGAGUGGAAUUCCUGGUGUAGCGGUGAAAUGCGCAGAUAUCAGGAAGAACACCGGUGGCGAAGGCGGGUCUCUGGGCAGUAACUGACGCUGAGGAGCGAAAGCGUGGGGAGCGAACAGG
Molecule: ribosomal RNA, 253 nt
Filed under: uncultured bacterium
Lineage: Bacteria
Description: partial 16S ribosomal RNA
Rfam family: Bacterial small subunit ribosomal RNA
Source: RNAcentral